GAAACCGAGUCUUAACCGGGCGUUAAGUUGCAGGGUAUAGACCCGAAACCCGGUGAUCUAGCCAUGGGCAGGUUGAAGGUUGGGUAACACUAACUGGAGGACCGAACCGACUAAUGUUGAAAAAUUAGCGGAUGACCUGUGGCUGGGGGUGAAAGGCCAAUCAAACCGGGAGAUAGCUGGUUCUCCCCGAAAGCUAUUUAGGUAGCGCCUCGUGAACUCAUCUCCGGGGGUAGAGCACUGUUUCGGCUAGGGGGCCAUCCCGGCUUACCAACCCGAUGCAAACUGCGAAUACCGGAGAAUGUUAUCACGGGAGACACACGGCGGGUGCUAACGUCCGUCGUGAAGAGGGAAACAACCCAGACCGCCAGCUAAGGUCCCAAAGUCAUGGUUAAGUGGGAAACGAUGUGGGAAGGCCCAGACAGCCAGGAUGUUGGCUUAGAAGCAGCCAUCAUUUAAAGAAAGCGUAAUAGCUCACUGGUCGAGUCGGCCUGCGCGGAAGAUGUAACGGGGCUAAACCAU
RNAcentral lists this ribosomal RNA (519 nucleotides) under Salmonella enterica subsp. salamae serovar 58:d:z6. RNAcentral's name for it is "partial 23S ribosomal RNA". It matches the Rfam family "Bacterial large subunit ribosomal RNA", at positions 673 to 1190 of the family's 2925-position model. Lineage: Bacteria; Pseudomonadati; Pseudomonadota; Gammaproteobacteria; Enterobacterales; Enterobacteriaceae. The record is from RNAcentral.